Molecule: long non-coding RNA, 1121 nt
Filed under: Equus caballus (horse)
Lineage: Eukaryota; Metazoa; Chordata; Mammalia; Perissodactyla; Equidae
Description: lncRNA (ENSECAG00000033531.2)
Source: RNAcentral
GGGGGCCCGCCCGCGCCCCUGCACCCGCCGCACCUUCUCCUCCUGGGAAAGUUCUCGAGCCCGACCCUGCGGCCUGCCGCCGGAGGGGGCAGCGGGCCCGUCCGGGCGAGCUGCGUGGAAAAGGAGAAGGAGAAAGGGAAGGGGAGGAAGGGGCGGGGAGGCUGGCGGGGCGAUCCCCUCCGACCCCACUUUCCGCCCCGGCGUGGGCCGCUCUGUCUCUCCCAGCGACACCAUUGUCACCCCCUCCAGGGGCGAGGAGUUUGGGCUCUGGGGUCAGGCUGCUUCGGUGCACAUCUUGCUCCACUCCUUACAAGUGUGCGCUUAGGCAACUUACUUUACCCAUCCCUGCAGAAAAAGAAAAGGCUAGGACCCGUCCAGGGCCAAUCCAGAGUGUGUGGGGCCUGACACGCCAAAGACGCGGGCGAGGGGAGCGGCCUUGCUCGGGGACAGGUGGCCGUCAGACUCGAGGCUCUGCAAGGGGCUGCACAGCGAGGGCCCUGAAGCCGCAGCUUCGUUUGCUCCGUGUUGAACGCCUCUGUACGGCUCUUGGGCUUAUAGACUAAGACAAACAAUAACGCAAUGAGCUCGCCGCGUCUAAGGUGCACUUUGCAUACUUUUCUCAUGGAAGCUCCACAUCUCUUUGCUGUAGGUCACUAUUGGUCAACAAAAUGGGCAAAUCAAAUUUAAAGAGGGAGCAGAAGGCAGAAGGAAAGAAGAGAGGAGAAUAAAAGGACCACAGGCAAGGGGCGAGGGAGAGAAUGAGGAGGGACAUCCUUUCCCUUGCCUGCUUCUCAGAGGGCAAAGAUUUUCUAUCUGUAAAGAAAUAUGAAGAAAAAAAUUCAAACAUACGUUGUCUUCUAACUAAAUUGUAAAACUGAAGCCAUAGUUGCAUUUUUAUUGUAUUAAUAUAAAAACAGCAAUAUUUUGUUGACAGAAAAUAAAAUGUGUGUCUCAGCAAUCUUGCUCCCCUGACUCUCACCCGGCGGGUUAGUCCCACGGUGGCUUUAGAGGGGCUGGGGGAUGGGAGGUCGCCUGUUGAGAUAAAGAAGGCAAGUUCACUACCUCUCCCUUGGGCAGAGAAGCGUUCAUGCAGGAAGUGAACUUUCAAAGACUUCAAAAAC